GUGAACGCUGGCGGUAGGCCUAACACAUGCAAGUCGAACGGCAGCACAGUAAGAGCUUGCUCUUACGGGUGGCGAGUGGCGGACGGGUGAGGAAUACAUCGGAAUCUACUUUUUCGUGGGGGAUAACGUAGGGAAACUUACGCUAAUACCGCAUACGACCUACGGGUGAAAGCAGGGGAUCUUCGGACCUUGCGCGAUUGAAUGAGCCGAUGUCGGAUUAGCUAGUUGGCGGGGUAAAGGCCCACCAAGGCGACGAUCCGUAGCUGGUCUGAGAGGAUGAUCAGCCAAACUGGAACUGAGACACGGUCCAGACUCCUAAGGGAGGCGGCAGUGGGGAAUAUUGGACAAUGGGCGCAAGCCUGAUCCAGCCAUACCGCGUGGGUGAAGAAGGCCUUCGGGUUGUAAAGCCCUUUUGUUGGGAAAGAAAAGCAGCAGGUUAAUACCCCGCUGUUCUGACGGUACCCAAAGAAUAAGCACCGGCUAACUUCGUG
This 491-nucleotide ribosomal RNA is filed under the name uncultured bacterium. RNAcentral describes it as "partial 16S ribosomal RNA". It matches the Rfam family "Bacterial small subunit ribosomal RNA", at positions 29 to 507 of the family's 1533-position model. The record is from RNAcentral.